Molecule: long non-coding RNA, 387 nt
Organism: Coregonus clupeaformis (lake whitefish)
Lineage: Eukaryota; Metazoa; Chordata; Actinopteri; Salmoniformes; Salmonidae
Exons: 5
Source: RefSeq, a predicted model, not a curated record
UACAUAUACACACACACACACUGAGCACAAAGCGAUGGCAGCUCUGACAUCUGAGCUAUUAGGGAUAAGAGGAUCAGAAGAUUAUUUCUUUGUAACGUUUUUGAGAUGACACCAAUGACAGACCAGCCUUGACCAGCUUUGUCCAGAUCAUAACAUUGACGAAUUAAAGAAGACCAUCUGGAGCUGAUAAGAGGGUUUGUCACAACUCAUGACUCAACAGGACAAACCCACGGGCAACACGGAUGCCUCUCCAGCAUAGUUCUAGGACCAUCAUCUUCACCAUCAUCAUCAUCAUCAUCAUCAUCAUGAGAGGGGGUGAAAACUGGAGAGGAAGGGACAACUGGAGAGGAAGGGACAACUGGAGAUGAAGGGACAACUGGAGAGGAG